UAUUAAAACAAGAUUGCAUUUGAGAAAAAUGCUAUGCCACCGCAUUAAUACCUAAGCUCUAGGCCUUUUGGGCAUUUACAAGAAGGUAUUUUAAGUUUUUGAAGCCUUGUACCUUGUACCUACAGACAAUAAGAUUUUUUUUUAUUUUUUACUAUAUGUAUAUAUUGAAAAUCAAUGACCCCCGGGGCGGGGGCAAUUUUGACCCCAGGGCUAUAAUUUGAACAAUCGUGCUAGAGGUUCACUACACAAUGUUUCAUGCAAAAUAUCUAACCUCUAGCAUUUGUCAAUUGCUAGAAGUAAUUUUUUUAAAGUUUUUACUAUAUACAUAUAACGAAAACCAAUGACCCCCGGGGCAGGGCCGAUUUUGACCCCAGGGCUAUAAUUUGAACAAUCUGGGUAGAGGUCUACAACACAAUGCCUUAUGCUCUAGGCCUUUUGGGUCUUUACAAGUAGGUAUUUAAAGUUUUUACUAUAUGUACAUAUAGUGAAAAUCAAUGACCCCCGGGGCGGGGCCGAUUUUGACCCUAGGGCUAUAAUUUGAACAAUCUGGGUAGAGGUCUACAACACAAUGCCUUAUGCUCUAGGCCUUUUGGGUCUUUACAAGUAGGUAUUUAAAGUUUUUACUAUAUGUACAUAUAGUGAAAAUCAAUGACCCCCGGGGCGGGGCCGAUUUUGACCCUAGGGCUAUAAUUUGAACAAUCUUGGUAGAGGUCUACCAGGCAAUGCCUUAUGCAAAAUAUCUAAGCUCUAGGCUAUUUGGGUCUUUACAAUAAGAUUUUUUAAAUUUAUUCUUAUAAUUCCUUUUGGUUGCCAUGGCAACCAGAUUUCUGCAUGGAAUGAAAUUCUUUGAACAACUUUGGAAGCCCUUCACCCAAGGAUCAAUCCUGCCAAGUUUGGUUGAAAUUGGACUAUUGGUUUUUCACAAGAAGAUUUUUUACGUUCACUAUAUAAUCUAUAUAACAAUGACCCGGGGCGGGGCCUAUUUUGACCCCAGGGCUAUAAUUUGAACAAUGUUGGUAGAGGUCUACCAGACAAUGCC
This is a long non-coding RNA of Ruditapes philippinarum (Manila clam), 1039 nucleotides long. RefSeq lists it as uncharacterized. The record is from RefSeq and is a predicted model, not a curated record. The transcript has 2 exons. NCBI's taxonomy places the organism in Eukaryota, Metazoa, Mollusca, Bivalvia, Venerida, Veneridae.